RNAcentral lists this ribosomal RNA (440 nucleotides) under uncultured bacterium. Its description in RNAcentral is "partial 16S ribosomal RNA". It matches the Rfam family "Bacterial small subunit ribosomal RNA", at positions 338 to 795 of the family's 1533-position model. The record is from RNAcentral.
CCUACGGGAGGCAGCAGUAGGGAAUAUUGCUCAAUGGGCGAAACCCUGACGCAGCAACGCCGCGUGGAGGAUGAACGUUUUCGGAUUUUAAACUCUUUUUGUUAGAGAAGAUAAUGACGGUAUCUAACGAAUAAGCACCGGCUAACUCCGUGCCAGCAGCCGCGGUGAUACGGAGGGUGCAAGCGUUAUUCGGAAUCACUGGGCGUAAAGAGCGCGUAGGCGGGAUAGCAAGUCAGAUGUUAAAUCCUAUGGCUUAACCAUAGAACUGCAUUUGAUACUGUUAUUCUAGAGUAUGGGAGAGGUAGAGGGAAUUCUUGGUGUAGGGGUAAAAUGCGUAGAGAUCAAGAGGAAUACUCAUUGCGAAGGCGACCUGCUAGAACAUAACUGACGCUGAGGCGCGAAAGCGUGGGUAGCAAACAGGAUUAGAUACCCCUGUAGUC